GACCAGACUCCUACGGGAGGCAGCAGUGGGGAAUAUUGCACAAUGGGGGAAACCCUGAUGCAGCGACGCCGCGUGAGUGAAGAAGUAAUUCGUUAUGUAAAGCUCUAUCAGCAGGGAAGAAAAUGACGGUACCUGAGUAAGAAGCCCCGGCUAACUACGUGCCAGCAGCCGCGGUAAUACGUAGGGGGCGAGCGUUAUCCGGAUUCACUGGGUGUAAAGGGAGCGUAGACGGCCAUGCAAGCCAGGGGUGAAAGCCCGGGGCCCAACCCCGGGACUGCCCUUGGAACUGCAUGGCUGGAGUACUGGAGAGGCAGACGGAAUUCCUAGUGUAGCGGUGAAAUGCGUAGAUAUUAGGAGGAACACCAGUGGCGAAGGCGGCCUGCUGGACAGCAACUGACGCUGAGGCGCGAAAGCGUGGGGAGCAAACAGGAUUAGAUACCCGCGUA
This 446-nucleotide ribosomal RNA is filed under the name uncultured bacterium. RNAcentral describes it as "bacterial SSU rRNA". It matches the Rfam family "Bacterial small subunit ribosomal RNA", at positions 329 to 792 of the family's 1533-position model. The record is from RNAcentral.